CGCUCUCUGGGAUAAAAUCAUUUUAAUAAUUGUAUAGAGAGUCGGACCUGCCCAGUGACUAUGAAUGUUAAACGGCCGCGGUACUCUGACCGUGCAAAGGUAGCAUAAUCAUUUGCCUCUUAAUUGGGGGCUUGUAUGAAUGGUUUGACGAAAGCUAAGCUGUCUCUUUUUAAAUUUCUAGAAAUUAUUUUUUAGGUGAAGAAUCCUAAAUUUAAUUGAGGGACAAGAAGACCCUAUUGAGCUUAAGUAAAGUUAUAUAUGUAUUAGGUACAAUAAUUUAUAGAUUUCAUUGUAUGAAAGGAUUAUAUAUUGUGAAUCUUUAGUUGGGGCGACUUAGGAACAAACAAAGCUUCCUUAAAACGUUAAUAAAUAUAUGUGUUGGUGGUCACACUAAAUAAUUGAGAUCCAGUAUUCUUACUGAUCAAUGGAAAAAGUUACCAUAGGGAUAACAGCGUAAUCUUUCUGGAGAGUUCUUAUCGAAAGGAGGGUUUGCGACCUCGAUGUUGGACUAAGAUAUCCUGGGGGUGUAGCAGCUUCCGACGGUUGGUCUGUUCGACCAUUAAAAUCUU
This 569-nucleotide ribosomal RNA is filed under the name Rochia conus. RNAcentral describes it as "Tectus conus partial 16S ribosomal RNA". It matches the Rfam family "Bacterial large subunit ribosomal RNA", at positions 1816 to 2597 of the family's 2925-position model. The record is from RNAcentral. Lineage: Eukaryota; Metazoa; Mollusca; Gastropoda; Trochida; Tegulidae.